UAUCUAGAAAGCCAAUGAAGAUGACCUCUUUUUGCCUUCCAGAUAAAAAUAGUCUUCCUGUAAAAUUAAUUUUUAUCAAUUUCUAGAAAUACGGCAGUGGCAAUAUAAGAUAAAUGUCUUCAACGUUUAGUCUGUAGAUCCUUAACAAUAUUAAGUUAUGUAGAAAGGGACAACCUUAUGUUAUAAAUAGGUUAUCUAUUUUAGUUAAAUUGUUUUCACUAUUCCUUUUAGAAAAUCAUUGGUGUGCCAAAGUGGAGAAAUAGUUAAGUAUUUCUUUUGGGAACUCUUACAGGAUGAAUGGCUAUGAUAUUCUUGAACCUACUUAUGAGAACCCAUAUGUUAUUUAGUUUGAGGAGAUGAAAAGUAAACUGCUUUUAGAGAAAAUGACUGUUUCUGGGAAAUUUAUAGUGCAGUAAACCCUCCUUUGUCUUCAGCAGGUAAAGAAUGUAAGACAGCUGCUCUAGUAGUCAGUUAGGAAGGGAUCCUUUCAGAAUGAGAGUAACUCAUUUCACCUUUUCCCAAAAAGAAGAUUUCAGCUGCUAUUACUCCCUUGCUACUUUAUAGUAUAAAUUAUGUGAAGUCAGUUUUGGUUUGAAUAGGAUUAAUUUUUCAUCUCUCUAUGACAUAUGACCGUGUUACUUAUUAUGUGUUACAGGCAGAAACGUAGUUAUGGACGUUCUCUGAAGUUGCUGAAUGUCCUUGAAGAAUACAUCACAGGUGAGCAGAAAGAUGAAGAAGAAAGAAGAAGGAGCUGAAUGUCCUUGAAGAAUACAUCACAGUUUUGUGCUUCUAGAGAAUAUUUCAAGAGCAACAAAAGAGGUGGCAACAAGAUGGGAAAGGAACUGUGAAAGAGACUGAGCCGCCACAUGAGCAAUUCACAAAGGAAUGAAAAGAAUGUCUGUGCUGAUUAAAGGGAGACAAAACUCUUGGCCCGGGCCCCACGUGGGCCACUUUGUGAGUUAUGUUGGAGGGAGAACAGGCCUCAUCUCCACCCUACAACCAAACCAAUAGCAGAAAAACUGACUUGAACCUGACACUCUCAGAAGCCACUCUUACUCUUAGCCACUACAAUAUUCUGGCUGG
Molecule: long non-coding RNA, 1083 nt
Organism: Symphalangus syndactylus (siamang)
Lineage: Eukaryota; Metazoa; Chordata; Mammalia; Primates; Hylobatidae
Source: RefSeq, a predicted model, not a curated record